This 403-nucleotide ribosomal RNA is filed under the name uncultured bacterium. RNAcentral's name for it is "partial 16S ribosomal RNA". It matches the Rfam family "Bacterial small subunit ribosomal RNA", at positions 30 to 526 of the family's 1533-position model. The record is from RNAcentral.
AUUGAACGCUGGCGGCAGGCCUAACACAUGCAAGUCGAGCGAGAGGCGGACGGGUGAGUAAUGUAUGGGGACUGCCUGAUAGAGGGGGAUAACUACUGGAAACGGUGGCUAAUACCGCAUACUAUCGGAUACCCGAUAGGGGAUUAGCUAGUCGGUGGGGUAAAGGCUCACCUAGGCGACGAUCCCUACCUGGUCUGAGAGGAUGAUCAGCCACACUGGGACUGAGACACGGCCCAGACUCCUACGGAGGCAGCAGUGGGGAAUCUUGCACAAUGGGCGAAAGCCUGAUGCAGCCAUGCCGCGUGAGUGAAGAAGGCUUUAGGGUUGUAAAGUUCUUUUAGCAGAGAGGCGUUACCCGAAGAGGAAGCACCGGCUAACUCCGUGCCAGCAGCCGCGGUAAUUC